Molecule: ribosomal RNA, 253 nt
Filed under: uncultured bacterium
Lineage: Bacteria
Description: partial 16S ribosomal RNA
Rfam family: Bacterial small subunit ribosomal RNA
Source: RNAcentral
UACGUAGGGGGCAAGCGUUGUCCGGAAUCAUUGGGCGUAAAGAGCGUGUAGGUGGCUCGAUAAGUCUGCUGUGAAAGUCCAGGGCUCAACCCUGGAAGGCCGGUGGAAACUGUCGGGCUAGAGUCCGGAAGAGGCGAGUGGAAUUCCCGGUGUAGCGGUGAAAUGCGCAGAUAUCGGGAGGAACACCUGUGGCGAAGGCGGCCCCCUGGUUGGAUACUGACGCUGAUACGCGAAAGCGUGGGGAGCAAACAGG